This 253-nucleotide ribosomal RNA is filed under the name uncultured bacterium. Its description in RNAcentral is "partial 16S ribosomal RNA". It matches the Rfam family "Bacterial small subunit ribosomal RNA", at positions 524 to 776 of the family's 1533-position model. The record is from RNAcentral.
UACGUAGGGGGCGAGCGUUGUCCGGAAUUACUGGGCGUAAAGAGCACGUAGGCGGCUAGAUAAGUCAGAUGUGAAAAACCUGGGCUUAACCGAGGGUAUGCAUCUGAAACUAUGUAGCUUGAGUCAAGGAGAGGAGAGCGGAAUUCCUGGUGUAGCGGUGAAAUGCGUAGAGAUCAGGGAGAAUACCAGUGGCAUAAGCGGCUCUCUGGACUUGAACUGACGCUGAGGUGCGAAAGCGUGGGGAGCAAACAGG